AAAGGAAUUCAUAGGUUAUUUGAGGAACAACUUCAGGCUGGUAAUGCAGAACCAACAGUUAGUCCUUGGAACACUCCCAUUUUUUUAUUAAGAAAAAGUCAGGUAAUUUGAGAUUGCUACAGGAUUUAGGGGCAAUAAAUCAUGCAAUUAAGCCUAUGGGAUCAUUACAGCCAGGACUUCCUUCCCCCCCAGCCAUCCCUUUAAACUAUAGCUUGAUGGUAAUAGAUUUAAAAGAUUGUUUUUUUCUCUAUAAGGUUACAUCCUGGAGAUUGUGAAAAAUAUGCCUUCAC
This 290-nucleotide small RNA is filed under the name Marmota monax (woodchuck). The record is from RNAcentral. Lineage: Eukaryota; Metazoa; Chordata; Mammalia; Rodentia; Sciuridae.